This 483-nucleotide ribosomal RNA is filed under the name uncultured bacterium. Its description in RNAcentral is "partial 16S ribosomal RNA". It matches the Rfam family "Bacterial small subunit ribosomal RNA", at positions 30 to 507 of the family's 1533-position model. The record is from RNAcentral.
UUGCACGCUGGCGGCAGGCCUAACACCUGCCAGUCGAGCGGAUGAAGGGAGCUUGCUCCUGGCUUCAGCGGCGGACGGGUGAGUAAUGCCUAGGAAUCUGCCUGGUAGUGGGGGAUAACGUCCGGAAACGGGCGCUAAUACCGCAUACGUCCUGAGGGAGAAAGUGGGGGAUCUUCGGACCUCACGCUAUCAGAUGAGCCUAGGUCGGAUUAGCUAGUUGGUGGGGUAAAGGCCUACCAAGGCGACGAUCCGUAACUGGUCUGAGAGGAUGAUCAGUCACACUGGAACUGAGACACGGUCCAGACUCCUACGGGAGGCAGCAGUGGGGAAUAUUGGACAAUGGGCGAAAGCCUGAUCCAGCCAUGCCGCGUGUGUGAAGAAGGUCUUCGGAUUGUAAAGCACUUUAAGUUGGGAGGAAGGGCAGUAAGUUAAUACCUUGCUGUUUUGACGUUACCAACAGAAUAAGCACCGGCUAACUUCGUG